This is a transfer RNA of 75 nucleotides. It matches the Rfam family "tRNA". Rfam says of the family: Transfer RNA (tRNA) molecules are approximately 80 nucleotides in length. Their secondary structure includes four short double-helical elements and three loops (D, anti-codon, and T loops).
GCCUUCGUAGCUCAAUGGAUAGAGCGCUGGUCUUCGGAACCAGUAGUGAGAGUUCGACUCUCUCCGAAGGCGCCC